Molecule: ribosomal RNA, 445 nt
Filed under: uncultured Thiobacillus sp.
Lineage: Bacteria; Pseudomonadati; Pseudomonadota; Betaproteobacteria; Nitrosomonadales; Thiobacillaceae
Description: bacterial SSU rRNA
Rfam family: Bacterial small subunit ribosomal RNA
Source: RNAcentral
UGGAUGAUGUGGAUUAAUUCGAUGCAACGCGAAGAACCUUACCUACCCUUGACAUGUCCGGAACUUGCCAGAGAUGGCUUGGUGCCCGAAAGGGAAUCGGAACACAGGUGCUGCAUGGCUGUCGUCAGCUCGUGUCGUGAGAUGUUGGGUUAAGUCCCGCAACGAGCGCAACCCUUAUCAUUAGUUGCUACGCAAGGGCACUCUAAUGAGACUGCCGGUGACAAACCGGAGGAAGGUGGGGAUGACGUCAAGUCCUCAUGGCCCUUAUGGGUAGGGCUUCACACGUCAUACAAUGGUCGGUACAGAGGGUUGCCAAGCCGCGAGGCGGAGCCAAUCCCACAAAGCCGAUCGUAGUCCGGAUUGUUCUCUGCAACUCGAGAGCAUGAAGUCGGAAUCGCUAGUAAUCGCAGGUCAGCAUACUGCGGUGAAUACGUUCCCGGGUCUU